This is a non-coding RNA of Tinamus guttatus (white-throated tinamou), 251 nucleotides long. Lineage: Eukaryota; Metazoa; Chordata; Aves; Tinamiformes; Tinamidae. The record is from RefSeq and is a predicted model, not a curated record.
GCAGCCCCAGCUGGUGGCCCUGAGCCUCUACCGCCAGUUCUGCAAGCACCAGGAGCGGGAGACGCUGAAGGACCUGUACAACCAGGAUGAUAAUCACCAGGAGCUCGGCAACUUCCACGUGCACGCCAGCUACGCCGAGAAGCGCAUCGAGGGCAGGGUGGGGGCUCUGCAGAACGCGCAGGACGCCUACUACAAAGCCAAGAACGAGUUUGCUGCCAAGGCCACCGAGGAGCAGGUGAAGCUGCUGCGGC